CGUGAACGCUGGCGGUAGGCCUAACACAUGCAAGUCGAACGGCAGCACAGUAAGAGCUUGCUCUUACGGGUGGCGAGUGGCGGACGGGUGAGGAAUACAUCGGAAUCUACUUUUUCGUGGGGGAUAACGUAGGGAAACUUACGCUAAUACCGCAUACGACCUACGGGUGAAAGCAGGGGAUCUUCGGACCUUGCGCGAUUGAAUGAGCCGAUGUCGGAUUAGCUAGUUGGCGGGGUAAAGGCCCACCAAGGCGACGAUCCGUAGCUGGUCUGAGAGGAUGAUCAGCCACACUGGAACUGGGACACGGUCCAGACUCCUACGGGAGGCAGCAGUGGGGAAUAUUGGACAAUGGGCGCAAGCCUGAUCCAGCCAUACCGCGUGGGUGAAGAAGGCCUUCGGGUUGUAAAGCCCUUUUGUUGGGAAAGAAAAGCAGCAGGUUAAUACCCCGCUGUUCUGACGGUACCCAAAGAAUAAGCACCGGCUAACUUCGUG
RNAcentral lists this ribosomal RNA (492 nucleotides) under uncultured bacterium. RNAcentral describes it as "partial 16S ribosomal RNA". It matches the Rfam family "Bacterial small subunit ribosomal RNA", at positions 29 to 507 of the family's 1533-position model. The record is from RNAcentral.